CAUCACUGUACAUGAUAACCAGGAGAUCAUCAGAGGCGGUACAGCAGACAGAGCGAGGGUACCACCCCUGUAGUGUGAUCACGAUUGAGUUGAGUGGAACAAUGAACCUCCGGAUAUCUAUGUACAUUUACACGUGUAGGAUUAAACUUCUGUUGUACUUGCGUAUGUGAGUUUAUCCU
Molecule: long non-coding RNA, 179 nt
Organism: Ostrea edulis (European flat oyster)
Lineage: Eukaryota; Metazoa; Mollusca; Bivalvia; Ostreida; Ostreidae
Exons: 2
Source: RefSeq, a predicted model, not a curated record